CAAUUAGACUCCUAAUACUAAUAGUCGACAAACGAUGUAAAAAAAAAAGUCGACAGACCAAAAAAGACGCCUAAUUGUCUAAGCCUUUGGCCUGUUCAACAACAACAAAAGAAGCGUGUAAGCAUUUGACAAGAAGGUUUCAUUGUCUGUUAUUUGGGUUUCGUAAUGUCCUCUAGGGAUCCAACUCGACAGUACCCUUACGCAUCUCAAUACGCGUCGCAUCCGGAUUUAGGUUUCAUCCCACUUUUGGUCUCUUCACGAUGAAAUCUACGGGAAGAACCUCUACCUAGGGUUUCGAUGCGCCGUUUGAUUUUCUUAUUAGCAAUCUACGCUCCCAGUUACAGAUUCAUCACAUUGGACCCUUCUUAAAUCCAUCAACCACGAUCUAACCUUCCGUGCGAGUUUCUUCUGCAAGGCGGUCUAUAUGCAUGUAUAAAAAGCCGACGUGGCCGUGGCUUUGAGGUUAAACACCUCCCGAGAAACCGCUUCACUCACCCUCUCUCACUUUUGAUACUUUAUCUUCAACCGUCUCCACGCCGCGACUCCUCGCUAUUACAACCACUGUAACAAGAUCGUUACUCUCAAGCCUACUAAUUGUGGUGCGGAGUAGGUGAAGGUGUAAAGUCUGCUCUUUUGGUCUCUCAAGGAGACCCACCGGAUCUCUGGUAACCUCUCGGAUAUGGAGUUUCCCUUCGGGUUAAUCCUGGUCAUGGCGGUGGUGGAAGCAUACCAAGUGCUGGUAACGGAACAUGGUAAGAUUCGAAGGAGGAUUCUUGGGGUGCAUCACAUUUCAAUCAAAUGCCAUUCAUGUUAAUGUUAUGAAUCUGAGCUUCAAGACAUUAAUAAGAUCAUGAGAGUUUGAAGAAGCAUUUGAUAUACCUGGUGAACCAAGGAAAGACUCUGACUUUCUGAGUGUGAAGGGAACUUCUCUGGAUGGGCAUUGUUUCGAACCAAGGAUCAUGCUGCAAAACACAUAUGCACAUGUGAUUUAGUCCUUACUCAAAACUUAUACCAUAAUAAAUCCAAUUGUUUCUCUUACAAUUCCUUAAUUCCUUACAUAACAUACACUUUGUUUUCUUUGUGUGUAUGUAGCAAUACUCUAAGGAUUCUCAGUUCAGCGAAGUGGACAGAAAAGAGUAUCAGUUUAGAACGAUAGCUAUUAUACUCAACUAUUGAACUUAGGUUCAGGUUCCUCUAUAGUUUUAAAUAGAUUCUUAGGAAAGUACUUCUCAGAUCAUUAAUUGAUGUGUUGUAAAACCUGUAGGCUACUGAUCUAUUUCAAAUUCCAGGACUAAAUUCGUGAAUGGUUUAGUUGAUUUCAUUACCGUAGAUAUUUGCAGAUUACACACUUUUUCUGCAUUAUUCUGUUGGCUUACUUUGAAAAUUAAUCAAUACUCAUGGGCAGAAAAACAAAUGCUUACGUUUCUUCGUCUUCAGCUGCCACGUUCAAUACUGAUAGACCAUGGAUUUUACCCACUUUUAGCAUAGUCUAUAAGUGUUUUAAUAUAUAUUUACUACUAUAUAUAGUUUAUUUUGAGUAUUUACAGGUUCAUGGACGAUUUGGAGGAAUGUGGUGAUUUUGAUGUCUUUUGGAGUCUUAUGAUGUGCAAAGCUUCACAGAUGCGUCAGAUGUUUAUCUAUGGAUGAAUACCUUACCACCGUUAGAUUGAGCCCAGCUUUUGACACAAGAUACAGCUUUGAGUUAGCUUUCCAAUGCCUCCAGUUUGAGGUCAAUCAGCAUCCUGUAGCAAACGUUAUGCCCGUUUUACUAAAGAGUGGUCAGUUUGCCUCGCGAGAGAAAGCUGUCGAGGAAAUGAAGGACUGUCGAUCUAUGAAACAGCAUUGGUGUCAAUCGACAGUGAUACCAGAAUAUGGGCUGAGCGUAAUUUAUGACCGACUGAAGCCUAGAAGCCACACAAAGUUACCAAAAUACCCAUGGACGACCAAAAACCCUAUUUAUGUAUUUCUAAGCCAUUGUUGACGGCUACACACUUUCUAUUAUAAUAUUCUAUUGUUUUCUCUUA
Brassica napus (rape) is the source of this 2024-nucleotide long non-coding RNA. RefSeq lists it as uncharacterized. Lineage: Eukaryota; Viridiplantae; Streptophyta; Magnoliopsida; Brassicales; Brassicaceae. The record is from RefSeq and is a predicted model, not a curated record. The transcript is spliced from 4 exons.